UACAUUCCAAUACAUUUUGUUGACAUUAUCAAUAUCAACAACUAAAUGUCCAAUUUACAAUACAUUAUUUAACAACCAGCUAGAUAAAGUAUAUAUAAAUUCUCCACAUCCUAAAAAAUGAAUACUUUCUCUGUAUCUUUAACGAGAAAAUGGUUCUCAUUUUUAAAGACAGACCGAGACCGAGAAUGUAUUAAUUAACUACAUAAACGGCCAAAAGAAAAAAAAUGAGAAGAAGAAGAAGAAGAAGAAGAUUAGUGGUGCAAAUUAAUUAUGAAUAGGUGUUUUCUUCCGAGCUGGUGUAUAAUCCAUUUCAUUGACUGAAUCUCCUUCGAAGAAAGGUUCUUCUGAUUUCGUUCUCCCAUCCAAAUGAGCUCCGUUAGCUCCCUGGCCAUCUGUCCGAAUCCUUCGACCUGAUUAGCAACAAAUGAUAAUCUGACAACUUCAUGAAAUCAUGACUAGAAACUGAAAAAUUAUUUAAUUAGUUUUAAAAUAUGUUUUAAGGAAAAAAAUUGGGAAGUUUCUUUUAACUGAGUUUAAUUAUUUAUAAAAUGAAGAAUGUUGUGUUCUGGGUAGAAGUUUAAUUCAAUUACCUUCAAUGCCAAGUGAUAAGCCUGAAAUGUAGCAGAGGAAGAAAAGAGUGACCAAAAGGGCAACCUUGCAUGACACAACUGAUGACUUCAUGUCUUGUUGUAUAUAGAGCAAGCUAGAACAUAUAUUUCUGAUCAAGUUAUAACUUAUAUAUAUAUAUAUA
Molecule: long non-coding RNA, 751 nt
Filed under: Panax ginseng (ginseng)
Lineage: Eukaryota; Viridiplantae; Streptophyta; Magnoliopsida; Apiales; Araliaceae
Description: long non-coding RNA (PGIN_LNC013086)
Source: RNAcentral